GCCCUUGUAGCUCAACGGAUAGAGCUGCCGCGUCCUAAGUGGAAGGUUCUGCGUUCGAGUCGCAGCAAGGGCA
Molecule: transfer RNA, 73 nt
Filed under: Anaerolineae bacterium
Lineage: Bacteria; Bacillati; Chloroflexota; Anaerolineae
Description: tRNA-Arg
Rfam family: tRNA
About the family: Transfer RNA (tRNA) molecules are approximately 80 nucleotides in length. Their secondary structure includes four short double-helical elements and three loops (D, anti-codon, and T loops).
Source: RNAcentral